RNAcentral lists this ribosomal RNA (264 nucleotides) under uncultured archaeon. Its description in RNAcentral is "partial 16S ribosomal RNA". It matches the Rfam family "Archaeal small subunit ribosomal RNA", at positions 717 to 982 of the family's 1478-position model. The record is from RNAcentral.
ACACGACUACAUUAGAUACCCGGUAGUCCCAGCUGUAAACGAUGCAGACUAGGUGUGUCAGUGACCACGUGUCACUGAGGUGCCGAAGGGAAACCGUGAAACGCACCGCCUGGGGAGUACGGUCGCAAGGCUGAAACUUAAAGGAAUUGGCGGGGGAGCACCACAACGGGUGGAGCUUGCGGUUUAAUUGGAUUCAACGCCGGAAAUCUUACCGGGACCGACAGCAACAUGAAGGCCAGGCUGAAGACUUUGCCGGAUUAGCUG